UACAGAGGGUGCGAGCGUUGUCCGGAAUCACUGGGCGUAAAGGGCGCGUAGGCGGUCGGAUAAGCGUGCGGUGAAAGCCCGGGGCUCAACCCCGGGUCGGCCGUGCGGACUGUUCGACUGGAGCACUGUAGAGGCAGGUGGAAUUCCGGGUGUAGCGGUGGAAUGCGUAGAGAUCCGGAAGAACACCGGUGGCGAAGGCGGCCUGCUGGGCAGUUGCUGACGCUGAGGCGCGACAGCGUGGGGAGCGAACAGG
This 253-nucleotide ribosomal RNA is filed under the name uncultured bacterium. RNAcentral's name for it is "partial 16S ribosomal RNA". It matches the Rfam family "Bacterial small subunit ribosomal RNA", at positions 524 to 776 of the family's 1533-position model. The record is from RNAcentral.